UACAGAGGGGGCAAGCGUUGUUCGGAAUUACUGGGCGUAAAGGGCGCGUAGGCGGCCUUCUAAGUCGGACGUGAAAGCCCCAGGCUUAACCUGGGAACUGCGUCCGAUACUGGGAGGCUUGAGUAUGGGAGAGGGAUGUAGAAUUCCAGGUGUAGCGGUGAAAUGCGUAGAUAUCUGGAGGAAUACCGGUGGCGAAGGCGGCAUCCUGGACCAUAACUGACGCUGAGGCGCGAAAGCUAGGGGAGCAAACGGG
Molecule: ribosomal RNA, 253 nt
Filed under: uncultured bacterium
Lineage: Bacteria
Description: partial 16S ribosomal RNA
Rfam family: Bacterial small subunit ribosomal RNA
Source: RNAcentral